This 881-nucleotide ribosomal RNA is filed under the name uncultured bacterium. RNAcentral's name for it is "bacterial SSU rRNA". It matches the Rfam family "Bacterial small subunit ribosomal RNA", at positions 500 to 1378 of the family's 1533-position model. The record is from RNAcentral.
ACUAUGUGCCAGCAGCCGCGGGUAAUACGUAGGGUGCAAGCGUUGUCCGGGAAUUAUUGGGCGUAAAGAGCUCGUAGGCGGUUCGUCGCGUCGGCUGUGAAAACCCGGAGCUCAACUCCGGGCUGCAGUCGAUACGGGCGGACUCGAGUUCGGCAGGGGAGACUGGAAUUCCUGGUGUAGCGGUGAAAUGCGCAGAUAUCAGGAGGAACACCGGUGGCGAAGGGCGGGUCUCUGGGCCGAUACUGACGCUGAGGAGCGAAAGCGUGGGGAGCGAACAGGAUUAGAUACCCUGGUAGUCCACGCCGUAAACGUUGGGCGCUAGGUGUGGGGGCCAUUCCACGGUCUCCGUGCCGCAGCUAACGCAUUAAGCGCCCCGCCUGGGGAGUACGGCCGCAAGGCUAAAACUCAAAGGAAUUGACGGGGGCCCGCACAAGCGGCGGAGCAUGUUGCUUAAUUCGAUGCAACGCGAAGAACCUUACCUAGGCUUGACAUGCACGGAAAUCUCGCAGAGAUGCGGGGUCCGUAAGGGCCGUGCACAGGUGGUGCAUGGUUGUCGUCAGCUCGUGUCGUGAGAUGUUGGGUUAAGUCCCGCAACGAGCGCAACCCUCGUUCCAUGUUGCCAGCACGUGAUGGUGGGGACUCAUGGGAGACUGCCGGGGUCAACUCGGAGGAAGGUGGGGAUGACGUCAAAUCAUCAUGCCCCUUAUGUCUAGGGCUGCAAACAUGCUACAAUGGCCGGUACAAAGGGCUGCGAUACCGUGAGGUGGAGCGAAUCCCAAAAAGCCGGUCUCAGUUCGGAUUGGGGUCUGCAACUCGACCCCAUGAAGUUGGAGUCGCUAGUAAUCGCAGAUCAGCAACGCCGCGGUGAAUACGUUCCCGGG